This 560-nucleotide ribosomal RNA is filed under the name uncultured bacterium. Its description in RNAcentral is "bacterial SSU rRNA". It matches the Rfam family "Bacterial small subunit ribosomal RNA", at positions 338 to 916 of the family's 1533-position model. The record is from RNAcentral.
CCUACGGGAGGCAGCAGUGGGGAAUAUUGGACAAUGGGCGAAAGCCUGAUCCAGCAAUGCCGCGUGAGUGAUGAAGGCCUUAGGGUUGUAAAGCUCUUUUACCAGGGAUGAUAAUGACAGUACCUGGAGAAUAAGCUCCGGCUAACUCCGUGCCAGCAGCCGCGGUAAUACGGAGGGAGCUAGCGUUGUUCGGAAUUACUGGGCGUAAAGAGUACGUAGGCGGUUAUUCAAGUCAGAGGUGAAAGCCCGGGGCUCAACCCCGGAACUGCCUUUGAAACUAGAUAGCUAGAGUCUUGGAGAGGUUAGUGGAAUUCCGAGUGUAGAGGUGAAAUUCGUAGAUAUUCGGAAGAACACCAGUGGCGAAGGCGACUAACUGGACAAGUACUGACGCUGAGGUACGAAAGCGUGGGGAGCAAACAGGAUUAGAUACCCUGGUAGUCCACGCCGUAAACGAUGAUAACUAGUUGUUCGGGCACUUGGUGCCUGAGUGACGCAGCUAACGCAUUAAGUUAUCCGCCUGGGGAGUACGGUCGCAAGAUUAAACUCAAAGGAAUUGACGG